This is a long non-coding RNA of Cavia porcellus (domestic guinea pig), 5574 nucleotides long. RefSeq lists it as uncharacterized. The record is from RefSeq and is a predicted model, not a curated record. Lineage: Eukaryota; Metazoa; Chordata; Mammalia; Rodentia; Caviidae. The transcript is spliced from 2 exons.
ACCUUACAGCUAAAUUGAAUCCCGGCAGUUCAGAUAAUAAGCCUAUUUUAAGAUGGCCUAAUACAAUAUGAAUUGUGCUAUAACUUGUUUCUGAAAAUUGCACAUGGAUUGAUUAGAAUAUGGGUUAGAAUGGUGUGACUUGUGCUAGACUAAAUCAUAAAUUUUAGUUAGGGUAAAAAAUAAAAACAAAGUAUGAAUUUGUAAUAAGAGUGGUAGGUAAAAUUACAAUUAAGUUGUGUCUAAUGAUUAAACUAGUAGAUAUAAUUAUAAAGUUAAAUUAAUACAACCAUAAUACUGAAUGUAUUAAUAAUAUAUUUGGUACUAUGAAGAUGCUAUUUUACUUUGAUAAAAUUUUAGAUGUGAGAGUUUUCUGUGCAUCAGAAUUGCUCCAAUUGACCUUUUUAAAAAAGUGAAUUAUGAACACUAAAGUAUCAGGGCCUUGCAAUGUUAACUUAUAAAGUAGUUUCAAUUCUUAUGGUUGACUUUGGUAAACUACUUAUUAAUUUAAUUCAGUUUUUCUCUGUAAUAUACUCUUCAUCACAGUUAAUACCAACUUUCUAUCACUUUAUACAGUUCUGAAGUUGAGACCAUGACAGCCCACAAGAUUGUUAAUUUAGUUCUUUAACAUCUCUCUCACCUAUAUGUGCCAUGUAUAUAUAUGGAUAUGUAUUUUAUUUCUAGUAUCUCUACCUCUGUAUUUUUUCUUUAUAAUAUAUUUAUUUUCUGGAUCUCUUGUUCUGACAUGCACAUUUAAAGGAAUCCUAACAUUUGACUCACAAUUUUUGAUGAUUUGCAGAAUAUUUCAUUGCUGGCUCACAUUUUCAUUUAUGUCAUUUGCCAUCAUUUAUACAUACAAAACAUGUGAUUGAGGAACUUCAAUUUGCUGCAAAGUGAGCAGAACUCAAUACAUGGAAAAGCUAGCCAGUCAUUUACAAUCUGAUUACAAGACCAAAGAGACAGACUCUUGCUUGGAAUAAGCUGGUAUGAUAUGAUUGUAGGAACAUGUUUGCGCUGAAUACUUUCUUUUUCUUUUUUCCAUACUAGACAUUGAAUUCUGGGCUUUUGAAUUGAGCUUUACAACCUUAGGUGACUGUAAUCAUUUACUUACGUGUGUGUGUGUGUGUGUGUGUGUGUGUGUGCACGCACAUGUGCCUGUGUGUGCAUGUGGGUAUAUUAGACAUGGUGUCAGUAAGUCGUUAAGCUGCCCAGGCUGGGAUCGUACUUGAAAUCAUCCUGCUUACACUCGGAGAAGGCUGAAAUUACAGGUCUGUACUGCACUUAACUCUAAUGAACAUUUAAGAGGUAUAUAGUCUAAAUUAGAAUGCAUUAUAGUUGUGAAAUGUGCAGUGGAUUUCAAAUGCUUACGACACAAAAAAUUAAAAUGUGUAAAAUUAACUCUUUCUGAGUUAUGUCCUCAUAUGUAAUGCAUGGUUUCAGUCCAUACCUCUGCUCUGUGAGGUUCACACCUCUGUUCUCAGACUUAAUAUUUACUUACUUAUAUUCCAAUCUCUCCACAGUGGUUCAUAUGUAAUGUUUUACAGUAUAUUUAUUUUGCAACAUUAACAGUUGUGCUUGGCAGUUAUUAGAUUCUUAAAAAAAAUUAAUCAAAUUUUAUUUUCUAAUAAGUAGUGCUUAUUUCACAUGUAAGUGAUAUAGACAUGUUGUAAAAAUUUUAUAAAUAAUUUAUUUUUCUAGUUUAGGAGAUAUUUUUACAAUCAGUAUCAUUUCUAGAUAUCUCUAUGUUUUCUUUUUAUCUAGACAGUAGUUACAAUGUUUUCUCUAAUUGCUGAAGAAACUCUCAUACCAAACUAAUUUCAAUUCCGUACAUUGUGUCAUCUUCUGUGUGUCAGCUUCUAUUUUAAGUGGCACAAAUAGGCGGCAAAUGAAGAAAACAACCCUGUUUCCAAGUAUUACAUUUGAGAUAGAGCAUGCAGAAAAAGCAAGAAAAAAUAAUUUAACUCAGAAAUGCAUCAACAACAAUAAAGUUAACCUUAGCUUUAGGUGAUAUGAUGAAGGAAGACAUCUGUGAUAAACUGAAUUUUAAACUGAGAAAUCUGCUGAAAAGGAACAGAAAUACAAUGAUAUCAUUAAAGUUCCUAGCUGAAAGAGGAAGGUAUAGGGGACCUGAAUCAUUAAUAGAGCUGGCCUGAAUGAGGAACACCAUGGAAACCAGUACAACUUGAGUAGCAUUAAGUGAUUAUGAGUAGAAUAGUGGACAAGGUCAAAUAAAUGGGCCAGCACAGCUCAUGGACGGGCCUAUGCCUCAGGUGAGCAUUUGAAUAUACUUUGUAAGGGCAAUAUAAUAUUGUUCCUAUUUUUGACACAUUUGAAAAUAUAACAUUUAAAAUGUGUUAUUCCAUUGCAUAAAGGAUGAAUUUUAGCAGGUGUGAUUUGUUAAAAUCAAGGAGAUCAUUUAGAAAUUCUUUUAGUAAAACAAAGGCAGAAGGUGAUGAUUGAAAAAAAAAAAACAUUUUCAGUGGAGAUGAAAUUCAGACAGUGUAAGUUUUUACGCAGUUUAAACCUUUGCCCUAUAUUUUGGUCCCACUAUGUAUUAACCAAAGAAUCUUGUUUUCAUUGAAUAUAUUUACACUUUUCUAAGGUAGAUUUAUACUAAAUUAUAUUUUUCUAUGCAUUUUUGGUAACCUUAGACAAGUAACUAUGAAGAAUGAAAUACUAAGACUGAUAAAUUAUUUUCUAAGCAUCAAAUUGUUAAUUAAUUGGGAUAGAAUUCCUCAUUUUGAAACUAUAGCACCACUUUUAAUGCAUAAUAUCACCUCUCCUUUACUAAAGAACCUAUCAGAUGAACAAAUUUAAAUUUAAUUGUGGCUUGUGUAAAGAUGCCUUCCCAGAUCUCAUGCAGUCAUUGGUGGGGCUUUUUCAGAGGUGACUGGAUCUAGAGUGCGGGAUGCUGGAAUUGAUUCACGGUGCAUUGCUAGGGCACUAGGAUUAAGGGUGUGAGUGCCACUCAUCCUAUUUUGUCCUGGAUGAGAUAUAAGGGAUAGAAAGAGCUAUGGGUGUCCCUUCUUGCUUUUCUACCUGAACCCUUCCAUGAACUGUUUUUCCUCCCCGGUGCCUGUUGACAUGACACCUCCCUUGGAGCCAGCCAAUUACAGACUCAAAUCUUUUAACUGUGGGCUAAAGAGAAACAAGACAUUUGGUUAGAAAAAACAUUAAUUUUUAGAAUGUAAUAAUGUACGAUUACAAAAAUCUUCACUGCUAUCUACUAAUUUUGACUUUAUACUUGGAAAUAGUGUAGUUUUGCUUUGAAUUGAUAAUUUGGUUGAUUUUGACUUUAGAGUCUUUGAUUAUGGUGAGGAACAGAAUAUCAAAAUAUCAUACUUAAAUAAAUUUAGACUAUUUAAUGUGAUUGAAACCCUCUUUGAGUACACAGUUGACCAAUUUUCAAGGGUGCAGUAGUCUGUAUUUACCUGAAUUUUUACAACUAUAAAAUAAUUUAAUCAUUUGCAGUAACUAUAAAGAGCAAAUAUAAUUUUUCUAAAUAUAAAAUAUCAUUAUAACAUACAGAAGUAAAUAUUAUAUUGCUAUAAAAAUACAAAAAUAUAUUUAUGAAUAUUUUGGGACCUAAAGUAUAACUUAUAAAGUCAUGGGAUGUUUAUACUGUUUUUUACUUUGUAUAUAGUGUGUAUUCUUCAAAAGGAAUAGCAAAUUAUUGACCAGUUACAUAAAUUGUGCAAUCAAUGCAUAACUAUUAAUAAAAGCAUAAUAUCAACUAUUCAACAAGGUCAAUUUUGUACUUUGUAGUAGGAAACCCAGAAGGUAAUAAUAAAUAUCACAAUGAAACAUCAUCAGUAGAAAAAUGUUAGAAAGUUUUAAAAUUCUACAUUUUUAAAUAUAUUCUAAGUAUAAAAUUUCAAUGAUAAAAAAUUUCUUGACAAAAAUGAAUCCAGAAUAACUGAAUAGAUAAAUGGACUCUUCGAUGGUAUAUAGACUGCAGUGUCCUCUGAUUAAAUGUAUGUGACAGCACCGAGUGUAGUUUGGUUAUUGCAUUUACUUUCAGAGUGCUUCCAGUUCUUACAAUAAUCACUAGUUUUGCAUUCUCAAAAAUGAACCCUGAAGAAUGACUACAGUGUUCGUCAUUUUGUUUUAUGGUACUCAUGGCCUUAUGGCAUUUGUUCUCCCUUCGGGAGUUUGAAGUUAGUAGAAAACAUUUAACAAGGAAUUGCAUCCAAGGUCCGUUAAAGGCACUAGAUUUUAUACUUUGCCCUUUUUUUCUUCAGCAUUCACACUUUGCCUAGCAUAUUUUUAGAGUUAGGAGAAAUUCAUGGAGAAUCAGCCUAAAAAUAUUUAUUUUAAUACUGUAAAAUUUAAAUGAACUUCCAGUCACUUCCCAAAUGUGUUACAGGAAAAUUUGGAUAAGACUGAAUCUAUAAAACAAAAGAUUGAAGGGGGGAAGCAGAGAAAUCAAUAGUAAAAAAAUAACUAAUUGAGUCUUUUACAUGUAUCACCUCCUCAUGAUGAAUUUAAUCAUUUUAUAAAGACUUUGUGCAUACAUAUGCACAUUUGUAAAUAUACAAACACAUUAACUUGUUUGUAUUUAUCUUAAUUAACAAGAUAUUUUUGUAAUCAAUUUUAAUAAACUAUUUCUUAGAAAAACACAAAAAUUAAAUGAAAGUUACAAAUUCUUGAAAGCUUUUCUCAUCAUAUUUAUACAAUCUUUAUACUAUUAAUAUGCCUCACCAGAGCAUUAUAUCUGUAGAUGUUUAUGAAACUAUGUAUAUAAACCAUUAUUACUAUAUCUACAACUUACUUUUGAAUUCAUUCUGGAAGUUGUAUAUUCUAAAGAUUAAGACAAUAUAUGACCAUAUACACUUCAUCAGAACUCAAUAUUUUAUCACCCUAAAUAUCCUUUGCUGGCUAAGUAUCCCUCUCCCUCAAGCUCUAAUCAUUUCUGAAAACCAUUAAUCAUUUUACUGUCCUUGCAGAUUUCAGUAUUCCACAAAGUCAUAGAGUUGGAAUUAGUAUGUUGACAUAUCUGUUUGAGUACUCCAGAGGAACAGCAUAAGUAGAAAAUACAAACACUUAUUCAAGAGGAUUUUUUUAGUAAGGUUACAGAAUGAGAAGCAGAAAAGUCCACAGUGAUUAUCUGUGUGAGGGAGAACUGGAAGAUACAGAAGUUGUUCAACCCAGGAUGAUGGACAAGAAGGAUCAAGGACACAGCACCAGUCCAAGAUCAAAAGCCUGGAAACUGACUAGCGUGACAUCUGUGUAAGUCUGCACUGGAAGGCUGAAGAAAGUAGAAACCGACAACCAAAGGUGAUGGGAAUCUUAGAGCUCUUCCAAACAUGUGACUAUAAGCAUUUUUAAAUGCAUGUUGUCAUUUAUCAUUGUGUUUGUUGAGACUUUUGCUCAAGUCUUUUGCCUAUUUUUGCAAUCAGAAUUUUUUUCUUACUGUUAUUAUAAAGGAGUGCUUGCACAUUUUGGAAUAUUGCUUUCAUUAGAGGUUUACUGAAGAAACAUUUUCUCUCAGUCUGUGGGGUUGUGGCUUCAUUUUCUUAUUGUUGUCUUUUGCAUGGCUGGAGCUUUCAGUUUUAAUAAAGUGAGUGUUUUCAACUA